This 497-nucleotide ribosomal RNA is filed under the name uncultured bacterium. RNAcentral describes it as "partial 16S ribosomal RNA". It matches the Rfam family "Bacterial small subunit ribosomal RNA", at positions 28 to 507 of the family's 1533-position model. The record is from RNAcentral.
GAUGAACGCUGGCGGCGUGCCUAAUACAUGCAAGUCGAGCGAACAGACGAGGAGCUUUCUCCUUUGACGUUAGCGGCGGACGGGUGAGUAACACGUGGAUAACCUACCUAUAAGACUGGGAUAACUUCGGGAAACCGGAGCUAAUACCGGAUAACAUGUUGAACCGCAUGGUUCAACAGUGAAAGACGGUCUUGCUGUCACUUAUAGAUGGAUCCGCGCCGCAUUAGCUAGUUGGUAAGGUAACGGCUUACCAAGGCAACGAUGCGUAGCCGACCUGAGAGGGUGAUCGGCCACACUGGAACUGAGACACGGUCCAGACUCCUACGGGAGGCAGCAGUAGGGAAUCUUCCGCAAUGGGCGAAAGCCUGACGGAGCAACGCCGCGUGAGUGAAGAAGGUCUUCGGAUCGUAAAACUCUGUUAUUAGGGAAGAACAAAUGUGUAAGUAACUAUGCACGUCUUGACGGUACCUAAUCAGAAAGCCACGGCUAACUACGUG